AUUGAACGCUGGCGGCAUGCCUUACACAUGCAAGUCGAACGGCAGCACGGGGGCAACCCUGGUGGCGAGUGGCGAACGGGUGAGUAAUACAUCGGAACGUGCCCAGUAGUGGGGGAUAGCCCGGCGAAAGCCGGAUUAAUACCGCAUACGACCUACGGGUGAAAGCGGGGGAUCGCAAGACCUCGUGCUACCGGAGCGGCCGAUGUCAGAUUAGGUUGUUGGUGGGGUAAAAGCCUACCAAGCCGACGAUCUGUAGCUGGUCUGAGAGGACGACCAGCCACACUGGGACUGAGACACGGCCCAGACUCCUACGGGAGGCAGCAGUGGGGAAUUUUGGACAAUGGCGCAAGCCUGAUCCAGCCAUGCCGCGUGCGGGAAGAAGGCCUGGUGUAACG
This 395-nucleotide ribosomal RNA is filed under the name uncultured bacterium. RNAcentral describes it as "bacterial SSU rRNA". It matches the Rfam family "Bacterial small subunit ribosomal RNA", at positions 29 to 430 of the family's 1533-position model. The record is from RNAcentral.